RNAcentral lists this ribosomal RNA (455 nucleotides) under uncultured bacterium. Its description in RNAcentral is "bacterial SSU rRNA". It matches the Rfam family "Bacterial small subunit ribosomal RNA", at positions 923 to 1379 of the family's 1533-position model. The record is from RNAcentral.
GCACAAGCGGUGGAGCAUGUGGUUUAAUUCGACGCAACGCGCAGAACCUUACCAGGGUUUGACAUCCUGCGACCGCUCCCUAAUAGGAGUUUUCCCGCAAGGGACGCAGAGACAGGUGCUGCAUGGCUGUCGUCAGCUCGUGUCGUGAGAUGUUGGGUUAAGUCCCGCAACGAGCGCAACCCUUAUCUACAGUUGCUACCAUUUAGUUGAGCACUCUGUCGAAACCGCCUCGGAUAACGGGGAGGAAGGUGGGGAUGACGUCAAGUCCUCAUGGCCUUUAUGUCCAGGGCUACACACGUGCUACAAUGGCCGAUACAAACCGCUGCAAACCCGCGAGGGGGAGCUAAUCGGAAAAAGUCGGCCUCAGUUCGGAUUGGAGUCUGCAACUCGACUCCAUGAAGCUGGAAUCGCUAGUAAUCGUGGAUCAGCAUGCCACGGUGAAUACGUUCCCGGGC